UAGCAUGGAGUCAGACAAGUGC
Molecule: ribosomal RNA, 22 nt
Filed under: Symbiodinium sp.
Lineage: Eukaryota; Dinophyceae; Suessiales; Symbiodiniaceae
Description: partial large ribosomal RNA subunit
Source: RNAcentral